This 253-nucleotide ribosomal RNA is filed under the name uncultured bacterium. Its description in RNAcentral is "partial 16S ribosomal RNA". It matches the Rfam family "Bacterial small subunit ribosomal RNA", at positions 524 to 776 of the family's 1533-position model. The record is from RNAcentral.
UACGGAGGGGGCUAGCGUUGUUCGGAAUUACUGGGCGUAAAGCGCGCGUAGGCGGACCUGCAAGUCGGGGGUGAAAGCCCGAGGCUCAACCUCGGAACUGCCUUCGAUACUGCGGGUCUCGAGUCCGGGAGAGGUGAGUGGAAUUCCUAGUGUAGAGGUGAAAUUCGUAGAUAUUAGGAAGAACACCAAUGGCGAAGGCAGCUCGCUGGGACGGUACUGACGCUGAGACGCGAAAGCGUGGGGAGCGAACAGG